UCGUUGCUGUUGCGAACCCUACUCCAGCAUCCCGCAUCCUGCAAAGUAGCCGCGUCGGCCUCAGCCUGCGAGAGACGGCGGCGCGAGGUGCGACGACGGCUGGUGACCGGGGCGACCGAGCUAUCGGCGGAGUUGCUCACGACCGUUCCCAUGCACGCAGCGGCGAGAGUUUCGUUGUCGGUGGGGACCCGGACGAUCGCGGUGUCGACGCUGUAUGAGGCGUCGCCGUCGGUCGAGUUUGCGUCGGGUUGAAGGUUUGUGUCGCCGGCGUUUCCGAGGGUCAUAUCUGUGCCGUUGAACGCGGUCAGG
Molecule: long non-coding RNA, 309 nt
Filed under: Micromonas commoda
Lineage: Eukaryota; Viridiplantae; Chlorophyta; Mamiellophyceae; Mamiellales; Mamiellaceae
Description: long non-coding RNA (MCOM_LNC000155)
Source: RNAcentral